GGCCUUUCUUCUGGGUUUGCUCACAGAGCCAGGGAGGCUGGGUGCCAGGGAGAGUAUUUCCUCUGGAGAAAGCUGUAUCCAUCUGGCCGGCUCGGCAGCCUGUGGCACCUCCACUCGGAAGCAUUCCUGUCACUGGGCACAGACUUCACAGCCUGGGUCUCUGGAAGAGGCACCAGGGAGUGUGUGUGUAUGUGUGGGUGUGUGUGUGUACACAUGUGUGGGCGGACUGAUGAAGCCACAAAUGUGCCCACCUCCCAGACAUUCGCUAAGGGUCUUCCCUGCUGGAAUGUGGACUUGGCCUGUUAGGGUGGUCUCCGGGACAGUUGUGGGGAGUGGCAGUCCAGUCUUCCUAGGCCUGAAGGAAUUUCCAGAUCAUCCUGUGCAGCCCCUUUAUUUCUUGCAGAUGAGGAAGCAAGGGCUGGGGGAGCCGAUGUAGCUUGCCCAAGGUCAUGCAGGAAACCCCAGAUCUGGCUCCACCACUGCCCUGUCGUGUGACCUUGAGCCAGUUACUCAACCCAGCCACCCCUGUUUUCUUAGCUUGUAAAGGAGGAGAAAAGGACCCAAUCCGCUAGGCUAAUGCGGGUGUUAAAUGAGAUAAUCCGGGAGGGCUCGUUCUGGACCUCUGCUCCCAUCCUUCUUGGAAUCUGCAUUGUCAUUGUUUUAUUGUUGCCAUGUUGUCGGCAACAACCACUGCAACUGUGUGAGGGUUUUGGAAGCCAGGGCUGUGCAGCCACACCAACCCUUGCCCGUUCAUCAAGCGCCUCCCAAAUCACCAUCACCGUUCGUCCUCCCCAGUUUCCAACAAGGUAGAGAGGGCCAGUCUCCUUUCUUGCAUUUCACUGCUGAGAAAACUUCAAAGAUGGGCCUCCGAACCGAGUCUUCUAUUGCCCAGUACCCCCUCCCCCUGCUGCCAAUUAGAAUAUUCCUUCUGAUAGACUUUUCCAGCUCUGCUGGGACAGACUGUGGGAAGAAGGAACACCCCCCCCCCUUCCCAAAUGAAUGAAAAUCAGCUCAGCCUCUUACCUGUUACUGCCCUUGAGUUCCUCCUGAGGGCCUGGGGCUUCCUCCUCCAUCGCUAGAGCUGUAGCUGAAGGAAGAACUGAGUGCACUUCCCGGCUCUAGACUUGUGGCCGGUGGCCACUUUAAGAGAAAACAAAGAAUUGCCUUCAUCGGGUUAUAGUGGCCGGAGGGAUUGAUGGACAUUUUUGGAGACUCGAUGGACCCAGACCCAAAAGGAGCAGAGCCCUAGGAAAUACAAUAGCCCUGUUACACAGAAAGAAUGAGUUUAAUGUGUACAGGGUGAGGGGUGAGGAGCAAUCAGAGGAAGAGGGGGUCACCCUGCUAAAUGUUUAUGAUUGGAGCCCUAAGCCCUGCCUUUCCAGAGGUGGUGGCAGGAGGAUCAUUUCUGUAAUAUAUUCCUCCCUUGAAACCUACCUUGCAGGAGAAAAUGCAGCAGGCACAAAACGCUGCUCAUGAAUAUUAACCAGCAAGCUCCCCCAGCCAUUGGGAAAUGGGCUGGUGCUAACUGGAUCCUUGUCCAUCCUGAAAAAAGCACAGAGCCCCUGAGGAGCCUCCGAGGCCAGGCUGGGGCAGGGGUGGGGGCGAGAGAGCAGAGGUCAUCCAGGCAGAGGGGUCAGAGGGCACGGCCAGAGGAGGGGUCAGCUUUGUUUCCACUCUGUGUUGGUGAAAGCCAAAUCUUUAUGGAACUUUUCUAGCUGCAUUUUGGGCUAUGUAGCUCCAAAAACAAAAGAUGUAUUUUCCCCCUUCUCCUUUUGGGUUUUGUCCUCCACUGAGCGGUGGCAUAUGCAGGUCUGGAGGCUGUUAAGGCCAUGCUGUCCCUCAUCCUGAGGAAAAGAAAAGCCAGGAUCUUAAUUUCAAAGAGAACAUGUGGGAAGGCAGCACAGCUAUUCCCAAGGUCCACCGUCCACCAUUGCUUCUCAUUUUUUCAACAGAGAAAAGAACAAAGGGGCAUGGUGAGGUAAUAGUACACUGUUUCAUAACACACUGUUGGCAGAACCGGUUACAUUUUAUUAUUUUAUUAUUUAUUAUGGCCCUUGCACAUACCACAUAUCAUGGUGGAAUCUUUGAAUCCUUUCUGGGAGAUGGGGCUUAUGGUCCCCUUUUGCAGAUGUGAAAACCGAGGCUUGUAAGUAACUUCGCCAGAGUCAUUGAGAUAUUGAAGGGGCAGAACUAGCACUCCAUACCAAGUGUCUACUGCCAAACACAGGGCUGCUAAGGGAUGUGAUUUAAUUUCUCUGGGUCUCAUUUUCCAAAUCUGUAAAAAGAGGCAACGGUUCCAUUUAGAUCUUCUAAACUGUUCACUCAUUUUGGUCUUUUUGUUGGGGGUGGGUCACACCCUCAGCAUAUGGAAGUUCCUGGGCCAGGGAUCAAACCUGUGACCUGAGCCAUAGCAGUGACUAUGCUAGAUCCUUAACCUGUUGUGCCAUCAGGGAACUCCCUCCACCUCUGUCUAUGCAUUUUGUUUCUGGGCAUCUGAAAUUCACAGGCAGGAGAGACUAGAGGGCAUCAGGGCACAGGUCUGUUACUUCAUUUCUCUAGAUUCAAAUCUCUUCGAGUGCGAUUUCACUGGAGAGGAUGCCAGAGGUGAACACUCUGGGAAGUUUAUUUUUUCUGUUUUUUCCCUCGCCACUUACACAAUAACAAUGAUGAGGCAAGGAUAGCAGAGGUGGGAGUUCCCGUCGUGGCGCAGUGGUUAACAAACCCGAAUAGGAACCAUGAGGUUUCGGGUUCGGUCCCUGCCCUUGCUCAGUGGGUUAAGGAUCCGGCGUUGCCGUGAGCUGUGGUGUAGGUUGCAGAUGUGGCUUGGAUCCCGCGUUGCUGUGGCUCUGGCAUAGGCCGGCAGCUACAGCUGCGAUUCGACCCCUAGCCUGGGAACCUCCAUAUGCCGAGGGAGCGGCCCAAGAAAUAGCAAAAAGACAUAAAAAAAAAAAAAAAAAAAAAAAAAGGAUAGCAGAGGUGGGGCCACAUAGAGGUUAGCAGUUUGGACUCAGGGCUGGGCAAUGAACCAUGGCUCAGUGGUAAUGAACCCAACUAGUAGCCAUGAGGAUGCCCCUUGAUCCCUGGCCUUGCUCCAUGGGUUAAGGAUCUGGCAUUGCCGUGAGCUGUGGCAUAGGUCGAAGCUGUGGCUCAGAUCCUGAGUUGCAGUGGCUGUGGCGUAGGCCAGCGGCUAUAGCUCUGAUUGGACCCCUAGCCUGGGAACCUCCAUAUGCCACACAUACAGCCCUAAAAAGCAAAAAAAAAAAAAAAAAAA
RNAcentral lists this long non-coding RNA (3271 nucleotides) under Sus scrofa (pig). RNAcentral's name for it is "lncRNA (ENSSSCG00015055160.1)". Lineage: Eukaryota; Metazoa; Chordata; Mammalia; Artiodactyla; Suidae. The record is from RNAcentral.